RNAcentral lists this long non-coding RNA (595 nucleotides) under Mus spicilegus (steppe mouse). RNAcentral describes it as "lncRNA (ENSMSIG00000000311.1)". The record is from RNAcentral. Lineage: Eukaryota; Metazoa; Chordata; Mammalia; Rodentia; Muridae.
AUGCUGCUGCGCGCCGCUUCGUGUGCGCUGCAGGUGGGGCAUCGUGGCCUCGCGUCCUGCGUGGGACGCCGGCGAGGAGACGGAGUGGAGCAGUACUGCCCAAGACGUUUCUGCCCAGAGUGUCAGGGCGAGCGUACACGUUUUUACUGUGGAUCCAUGACACAGAUGGAUGCCGACUUUCUAGCUGCAAUCUGCUCACCUGUUGGUCUGGAUAGCCGCUGUGUCCCCACAAGAGGAGGGACCGUCAUAGAGAAACACAGCUGAACUUUACUGUGGCCAAAAGAAGAAAAAAAAACAAUUACAAGUUUCAGACACCAAAGACUUCUCAGUUUGUGAACUCUAUAUAAUGAGUCUCAUGCUGUAAGCUUUAGAAUUCUGACUUGGUUGUGUUUGUCAGGUACAGCCUGAAAUAGGAAGUCCUAAGAGCAGGGAAUGAGGACUGUCCAUUUGUCCUGCUUAACGAAUCACAAUCUGAUGUAAAAAGGUAGGUAUUGAAAAACCUUAACUUUCUGCAUGUAGAUAAUACAGUACUUAUUUAUGUAAAUAACUACUUAGCUGUCCAGAAAAUAAAAAGAAGGUGAUUUUAAUUAUAGCA